UACGGGGGGGGCAAGCGUUGUUCGGAAUUACUGGGCGUAAAGGGCGCGUAGGCGGUUCGCUAAGUUGGAUGUGAAAACUCUGGGCUCAACCCAGAGCCUGCAUCCAAAACUGGCGGGCUAGAGUUCUGGAGGGAGUAGCGGAAUUCCUGGUGUAGCGGUGAAAUGCGUAGAUAUCAGGAGGAACACCGGUGGCGAAGGCGGCUACCUGGACAGAAACUGACGCUGAGGCGCGAAAGCUAGGGGAGCAAACAGG
This 253-nucleotide ribosomal RNA is filed under the name uncultured bacterium. RNAcentral's name for it is "partial 16S ribosomal RNA". It matches the Rfam family "Bacterial small subunit ribosomal RNA", at positions 524 to 776 of the family's 1533-position model. The record is from RNAcentral.